RNAcentral lists this ribosomal RNA (253 nucleotides) under uncultured bacterium. Its description in RNAcentral is "partial 16S ribosomal RNA". It matches the Rfam family "Bacterial small subunit ribosomal RNA", at positions 524 to 776 of the family's 1533-position model. The record is from RNAcentral.
UACGUAGGGUGCAAGCGUUAAUCGGAAUUACUGGGCGUAAAGCGUGCGCAGGCGGUUAUAUAAGUCAGAUGUGAAAUCCCUGGGCUCAACCUAGGAACUGCAUUUGAGACUGUAUGGCUAGAGUGUGUCAGAGGGGGGUAGAAUUCCACGUGUAGCAGUGAAAUGCGUAGAUAUGUGGAGGAAUACCGAUGGCGAAGGCAGCCCCCUGGGAUAACACUGACGCUCAUGCACGAAAGCGUGGGGAGCAAACAGG